UAGAGCAUGCGGCUGUUAACCGCAGUGUCGUUGGUUCGAGUCCAACAGGGGGAG
RNAcentral lists this transfer RNA (54 nucleotides) under Lachnospiraceae bacterium CAG:364. It matches the Rfam family "tRNA", at positions 19 to 71 of the family's 71-position model. Rfam says of the family: Transfer RNA (tRNA) molecules are approximately 80 nucleotides in length. Their secondary structure includes four short double-helical elements and three loops (D, anti-codon, and T loops). Further hydrogen bonds mediate the characteristic L-shaped molecular structure. tRNAs have two regions of fundamental functional importance: the anti-codon, which is responsible for specific mRNA codon recognition, and the 3' end, to which the tRNAs corresponding amino acid is attached (by aminoacyl-tRNA synthetases). tRNAs cope with the degeneracy of the genetic code in two manners: having more than one tRNA (with a specific anti-codon) for a particular amino acid; and 'wobble' base-pairing, i.e. permitting non-standard base-pairing at the 3rd anti-codon position. Lineage: Bacteria; Bacillati; Bacillota; Clostridia; Lachnospirales; Lachnospiraceae. The record is from Rfam by way of RNAcentral.